AAGCGUAGGCGGCGUGGUAAGUCAGAUGUGAAAUCCCGGGGCUCAACCCCGGAACUGCAUCCGAUACUGCCGUGCUAGAGGAUUGGAGAGGUAGCUGGAAUUCACGGUGUAGCAGUGAAAUGCGUAGAUAUCGUGAGGAACACUCGUGGCGAAAGCGAGCUACUGGACAACUCCUGACGCUGAGGCUCGAAGGCCAGGGUAGCGAAAG
Molecule: ribosomal RNA, 208 nt
Filed under: uncultured bacterium
Lineage: Bacteria
Description: partial 16S ribosomal RNA
Rfam family: Bacterial small subunit ribosomal RNA
Source: RNAcentral